Molecule: ribosomal RNA, 663 nt
Filed under: uncultured bacterium
Lineage: Bacteria
Description: bacterial SSU rRNA
Rfam family: Bacterial small subunit ribosomal RNA
Source: RNAcentral
CUACCUCAUACAGGGGGAUAACAGUUGGAAACGACCGCUAAUACCGCAUAACCCGCUAAUAUCGCAUGAUACGGACGGAAAAGAUUUAUCGGUAUGAGAUGGACCCGCGUCUGAUUAGCCAGUUGGCAGGGUAACGGCCUACCAAAGCAACGAUCAGCAGCCGGCCUGAGAGGGUGAACGGCCACAUUGGGACUGAGACACGGCCCAAACUCCUACGGGAGGCAGCAGUGGGGAAUAUUGCACAAUGGGGGAAACCCUGAUGCAGCGACGCCGCGUGAGUGAGGAAGUAUUUCGGUAUGUAAAGCUCUAUCAGCAGGGAAGAAAAUGACGGUACCUGACUAAGAAGCCCCGGCUAACUACGUGCCAGCAGCCGCGGUAAUACGUAGGGGGCAAGCGUUAUCCGGAUUUACUGGGUGUAAAGGGAGCGUAGACGGUUAAUCAAGUCAGAAGUGAAAACCCAGGGCUCAACCUUGGGACUGCUUUUGAAACUGAGUAGCUAGAGUGCAGGAGAGGUAAGCGGAAUUCCUAGUGUAGCGGUGAAAUGCGUAGAUAUUAGGAGGAACACCAGUGGCGAAGGCGGCUUACUGGACUGUAACUGACGUUGAGGCUCGAAAGCGUGGGGAGCAAACAGGAUUAGAUACCCUGGUAGUCCACGCCGUAAAC